AGCCUUUGAUGCAUAAACGUGAAUAAGAGUAGUGGACAGGAGCCUUUUCUGAAAACUAUAUUCUGAGGCU
Molecule: small nucleolar RNA, 70 nt
Organism: Colossoma macropomum (tambaqui)
Lineage: Eukaryota; Metazoa; Chordata; Actinopteri; Characiformes; Serrasalmidae
Product: small nucleolar RNA SNORD75
Exons: 1
Source: RefSeq, a predicted model, not a curated record